CCACAAGAUCAUGACCUAACCUGAAGUCGGAUGCUCAACCAACUGAGCCACCCAGGCACCCUCCCUAUCUGUAUCUUCUGAGGAAGCAAGCUAUGGGGCAACAACAAACUAUAUCAGGAAUUUGAAAUUCUGAGAUAACCUUGCCUGCCUUCCCAAAUCAUGUCAUAGCUUUUGCCCUUUCAACAAGACCAUAAAAGCAGAAAUUGACAUAAGAAAAUGUUACGGAAUUAAGACAAGUACGACCGGCAGCAUUCCGAGGUCGCCGCAAGAUGCGAUGCUUAAAACACUACCUGACUCAGUUUAUGUACCCAUGAAAUGGGUGGAUAGAUUUGAAAGGUUAAAAGCACCAAAAGGUGCCAUGUUAACAUGCAGCACCAAGUUAGUGCGAAAGCAUUUCAGACAAAUGACAAUUUGGUCGAUUUCACUGCAACUCAUCCCUUCACAGGCUUCAUUUUGCUCCUCAAAACCCACAACCUACAAACCCCUUGUACUUCCAGAGUAAAAAAGACAUGAAAGAAAGCAA
Long non-coding RNA from Lynx canadensis (Canada lynx), 523 nucleotides. RefSeq lists it as uncharacterized. The record is from RefSeq and is a predicted model, not a curated record. NCBI's taxonomy places the organism in Eukaryota, Metazoa, Chordata, Mammalia, Carnivora, Felidae. The transcript has 2 exons.